This 692-nucleotide ribosomal RNA is filed under the name uncultured bacterium. RNAcentral's name for it is "bacterial SSU rRNA". It matches the Rfam family "Bacterial small subunit ribosomal RNA", at positions 44 to 715 of the family's 1533-position model. The record is from RNAcentral.
AUGCUUAACACAUGCAAGUCGAACGGAAACGACAACAUUGACUCUUCGGAGGAUUUGUUGGGCGUCGAGCGGCGGACGGGUGAGUAAUGCCUAGGAAAUUGCCUUGAUGUGGGGGAUAACCAUUGGAAACGAUGGCUAAUACCGCAUAAUGCCUACGGGCCAAAGAGGGGGACCUUCGGGCCUCUCGCGUCAAGAUAUGCCUAGGUGGGAUUAGCUAGUUGGUGAGGUAAUGGCUCACCAAGGCGACGAUCCCUAGCUGGUCUGAGAGGAUGAUCAGCCACACUGGAACUGAGACACGGUCCAGACUCCUACGGGAGGCAGCAGUGGGGAAUAUUGCACAAUGGGCGAAAGCCUGAUGCAGCCAUGCCGCGUGUAUGAAGAAGGCCUUCGGGUUGUAAAGUACUUUCAGUUGUGAGGAAGGGUGUGUAGUUAAUAGCUGCACAUCUUGACGUUAGCAACAGAAGAAGCACCGGCUAACUCCGUGCCAGCAGCCGCGGUAAUACGGAGGGUGCGAGCGUUAAUCGGAAUUACUGGGCGUAAAGCGCAUGCAGGUGGUUCAUUAAGUCAGAUGUGAAAGCCCGGGGCUCAACCUCGGAACUGUAUUUGAAACUGGUGAACUAGAGUGCUGUAGAGGGGGGUAGAAUUUCAGGUGUAGCGGUGAAAUGCGUAGAGAUCUGAAGGAACACCAGUGG